GUAGAGCCAAAGGACGGUCAUGAAGUCCACCUUGCCUAUGCAAGUGAUGAUGCAAGUCUAAGAUGAAGAUCUUAGCUUAACUACACUGCAUCUUUGUUUUAUGUUGCUUUAGGGGUCGUCCAUCAAGGAAGCAUACAAUGAUUAUAUUUUUUGUCAGAUGUGUUGAAAGCUACAUAGCUUUGUUGUCUACUGUUUUUUAAAUAUUCCAACAUUUUUAUGGUUUCACAG
RNAcentral lists this long non-coding RNA (228 nucleotides) under Olea europaea (common olive). RNAcentral's name for it is "long non-coding RNA (OEUR_LNC003525)". Lineage: Eukaryota; Viridiplantae; Streptophyta; Magnoliopsida; Lamiales; Oleaceae. The record is from RNAcentral.